This 641-nucleotide non-coding RNA is filed under the name Gossypium hirsutum (cotton). Its description in RNAcentral is "Eukaryotic large subunit ribosomal RNA". It matches the Rfam family "Eukaryotic large subunit ribosomal RNA", at positions 24 to 664 of the family's 3401-position model. The record is from Rfam by way of RNAcentral. Lineage: Eukaryota; Viridiplantae; Streptophyta; Magnoliopsida; Malvales; Malvaceae.
CCUGCUGAGUUUAAGCAUAUCAAUAAGCGGAGGAAAAGAAACUUACCAGGAUUCCCCUAGUAACGGCGAGCGAACCGGGAAAAGCCCAGCUUGAGAAUCGGGCGCCACCGGCGUUCGAAUUGUAGUCUGGAGAAGCGUCCUCAGCAGCGGACUGGGCCCAAGUCCCCUGGAAAGGGGCGCCAGAGAGGGUGAGAGCAUCGUCGUGCCUGGACCCUGUCGCACCACGAAGCGCUGUCUACGAGUCGGGUUGUUUGGGAAUGCAGCCCUAAUCAGGCGGUAAAUUCCGUCCAAGGCUAAAUACGGGUGAGAGGCCGAUCGCGAUCAAGUACCGCGAAGGAAAGAUGAAAAGGACUUUGAAAAGAGAGUCAAAGAGUGCUUGAAAUUGUCGGGAGGGAAGCGGAUGGGGGCCGGCGAUGCGCCCCGGUCGGAUGUGGAACAGCGAGAGCCGGUCCACUGAUCGGCUCGGGGAGUGGACCGACGCGGGUCGUGGCGGCGGCCCAAGCCCGAGCCUUUAAUACGCCUGUAGAGACGUCAUCGCCUCGAUCAUGUGAUCCAGCACGCGCCGUCUCGGCGUGCUUCGGUACCUGCGUGCUCCGGGCGUCGGCCUGCGGGCUCCCCAUUCGGCCCGUCUUGAAACACAG